Panicum virgatum (switchgrass) is the source of this 2130-nucleotide RNA transcript. It is a transcript of the gene named protein REDUCED WALL ACETYLATION 1-like, with no coding region annotated. The record is from RefSeq and is a predicted model, not a curated record. The transcript is spliced from 14 exons. Lineage: Eukaryota; Viridiplantae; Streptophyta; Magnoliopsida; Poales; Poaceae.
CUCCGCUUUAAACCGGCGAAGCAUUUUCCGCUCGGGAAAACCCGCGCUUGAUUUUCCUUUUUUCUAUCACCCACCUACUAAUUUCCGAACCCCUGUUCGCGUCGCUCGCUCGGGUUUGGAUCCGAGCACAGGCCCGGCCGGCGGAUGCUGUAGAGAAAUGGCGGAGGCCGUCGCGUCCGCGGGUGGGCUCGCCAUGGCGGCAGCCUCGACCUCCGUCACGCCCGGCCAGGUUUCUGCUAUUCUGGGGUUUCUUUGGGUUUUCGCAGCCUGGGCAUAUGCUGAGGUUCUCUUUCAUAGGAAGAAUGCUGCUUCUAUUAAAACAUACUCGGAUGUCAAUUUAGCAGUAAUGGAUAAUAGUUCAGUCAAAGAAGAUCAAACACUUCUGUUGGAGGAGGGUGGCCAAGCUGUAGCUGCAAAGCCAGCUUAUAAUUCCUUCACAUCACAAAUGCUCAGACUUUUCUUCAUGGACCAGAUGCUUCUUCUGGAGAAUCGUUUAACACUGAGGGCAAUAUCUGAGUUUGGAGGGUAUCUACUUUAUUUUUACAUAUGUGAUCGUACUGACUUACUCGGAGAGUCUGCCAAGAAUUACAGCCGAGAUCUGUUCCUUUUCCUCUACUUUCUUCUCAUUAUUGUAUCAGCUAUGACUUCCUUUAAAGUCCAUCAAGACAAGUCUGCACUCACAGGGAAAUCUAUAUUGUACUUGAACAGGCAUCAAACCGAAGAAUGGAAGGGUUGGAUGCAGGUGUUAUUCUUGAUGUACCACUACUUUAACGCUAAAGAGAUCUACAAUGCAAUCCGUGUGUUUAUUGCUGCAUAUGUCUGGAUGACUGGAUUUGGCAACUUCUCUUAUUAUUAUGUGAGGAAGGAUUUCAGUCUAGGAAGGUUUGCUCAGAUGAUGUGGCGCCUCAAUUUCUUUGUUAUAUUGUGCUGCAUUGUCCUGAACAAUGACUAUACACUCUAUUAUAUUUGCCCUAUGCACACCCUUUUCACCCUAAUGGUUUAUGGUGCUCUUGGAAUUCUUAACAAAUAUAACGAGAUUAGAUCGGUGAUGUGUUUUCCCUUCCAAGGAUGAACGGUGCGAUUUGCCUUUGGGUGCAGGCUAUACUGAUCCUUCUAAACCAGAUCUCCCCCGGUUGCAUGAGUGGCAAUUCCGAUCUGGACUGGAUCGCUACAUUUGGAUCGUGGGGAUGAUAUAUGCGUAUUACCACCCAACUGUUGAGAAGUGGAUGGAGAAGCUGGAAGAAACUGAACUGAGAACCAAACUCUAUAUUAAGGGCUCAAUAGUUACAGUAUCUUUGACGGCUGGUUAUUUGUGGUAUGAAUACAUUUAUAAGCUGGAUAAGAUUACAUACAACAAGUUACAUCCCUAUACAUCCUGGAUCCCCAUAACUGUCUACAUAUGCCUACGCAACUUCACCCAGGAAUUCAGGAGCUUCUCUCUCACACUAUUUGCCUGGCUUGGAAAGAUUACACUGGAGACAUACAUAUCUCAGUUCCACAUCUGGCUCAGAUCAAGGGUGCCCAAUGGACAGCCGAAAUGGCUAUUGACAAUAAUCCCAAAUUACCCACUGCUCAAUUUCAUGCUCACUACUGCUAUAUAUGUCGCGGUUUCCCACAGGCUCUUAGAGUUGACUAAUACCUUGAAGAUGGCAUUUGUGCCCAGUCGUGACAACAAGCGCCUCUCAUACAAUUUUGUAGCAGGCAUUACCAUUUCAGUUGCACUAUACUGUGUAUCAUUUGUUCUAGUUGGCAUUGCAGGAUACUAGGAAAUCUUUUUAUUUUCAUUUUCAAGUGUUCUAUUUGGUGUUCUAGUUCAAUGACUAGGCCAGUUCAAUCGUGAGCAAAUUCAAGGCGACACGUCACGCACUGCCCAGAAAGCUGCUAUUUCUUUCACUGGAGUAAGUUUUGCCUGAGUUCCUUGGUGAAAAGUAAUCGAGCUGCGCCUCACAAGAACAGAAGAUCAGUGUAACAUACGAGGGAACCAACCCCAUGAAGGGGAUAUGAUAAGAAUAGAUAUUCCUGUAUAGCCGUUGAGAUGCAUACGUCGGCUGUUGAAAUCAGAUGUUUCCCAUUUUUGUUUAAUAUAGACAGAAUGGUGAUGAGAAGUUCGACUACUUGAUUCUCGUUUUA